RNAcentral lists this long non-coding RNA (299 nucleotides) under Ananas comosus (pineapple). RNAcentral describes it as "long non-coding RNA (ACOM_LNC036674)". The record is from RNAcentral. Lineage: Eukaryota; Viridiplantae; Streptophyta; Magnoliopsida; Poales; Bromeliaceae.
GUUCACCGCAUACAAGCUUUUAUAGAAACAAACAUAGAACUAGACUGGAAUACUAUCAAUAGCACCAAGCUAUUGGUGCUAUUAGGUUUUCGGCCCUUGGAUGGAAAAAUAUACGGUUAGAAUGAUGCGAGCUCUCCAGGGUUGAGUGAGUUAUUUGUUUAAUAGUAUAAUUUAACGAAUAAAAAUAAUCAAAGAGUUAAAUCUAACGGCGAAAAAUUUGAUAGCACCGAACGCUUGGUGCUAUCGAUAGUAUUCUAGGCAGACUCACUAACAUAAUAUAUGUUACAAACAUGUAAUUA